Molecule: ribosomal RNA, 441 nt
Filed under: uncultured bacterium
Lineage: Bacteria
Description: partial 16S ribosomal RNA
Rfam family: Bacterial small subunit ribosomal RNA
Source: RNAcentral
CCUACGGGUGGCAGCAGUGGGGAAUAUUGGGCAAUGGGCGCAAGCCUGACCCAGCAACGCCGCGUGAAGGAAGAAGGCUUUCGGGUUGUAAACUUCUUUUGACAGGGAAGAGUAGAAGACGGUACCUGUCGAAUAAGCCACGGCUAACUACGUGCCAGCAGCCGCGGUAAUACGUAGGUGGCAAGCGUUGUCCGGAUUUAUUGGGUUUAAAGGGUGCGUAGGCGGUCCGGAAAGUCAGCGGUAAAAGCCCGGGGCUCAACCCCGGCGAGCCGUUGAAACUGUCGGACUAGAGACGGCGAGAAGUACGCGGAAGGCGCGGUGUAGCGGUGAAAUGCAUAGAUAUCGCGCAGAACUCCGAUUGCGAAGGCAGCGUACCGGCGCCGGACUGACGCUGAGGCACGAAAGCGUGGGUAUCGAACAGGAUUAGAUACCCUUGUAGUC